Molecule: ribosomal RNA, 2399 nt
Filed under: Geitlerinema sp. BEA1034B
Lineage: Bacteria; Bacillati; Cyanobacteriota; Cyanophyceae; Geitlerinematales; Geitlerinemataceae
Description: partial contains 16S ribosomal RNA, 16S-23S ribosomal RNA intergenic spacer, and 23S ribosomal RNA
Rfam family: Bacterial small subunit ribosomal RNA (bases 1-1408)
Source: RNAcentral
AGUGGCGGACGGGUGAGUAACGCGUAAGAAUCUAGCUUCAGGUUCGGGACAACAGUUGGAAACGACUGCUAAUACCGGAUGUGCCUACGGGUGAAAGGCUUGCUGCCUGAAGAAGAGCUUGCGUCCGAUUAGCUAGUUGGUGAGGUAAAGGCUUACCAAGGCAUCGAUCGGUAGCUGGUCUGAGAGGAUGACCAGCCACACUGGGACUGAGACAAGGCCCAGACUCCUACGGGAGGCAGCAGUGGGGAAUUUUCCGCAAUGGGCGAAAGCCUGACGGAGCAAUACCGCGUGAGGGAAGAAGGCUCUUGGGUUGUAAACCUCUUUUCUCAGGGAAUAAAAAAAUGAAGGUACCUGAGGAAUAAGCAUCGGCUAACUCCGUGCCAGCAGCCGCGGUAAUACGGAGGAUGCAAGCGUUAUCCGGAAUGAUUGGGCGUAAAGCGUCCGCAGGUGGUACAACAAGUCUAGUGUCAAAGACCGGGGCUCAACUCCGGGAUGGCGGUGGAAACUGUUGAACUAGAGGGUCGUAGGGGUAGAGGGAAUUCCCAGUGUAGCGGUGAAAUGCGUAGAGAUUGGGAAGAACAUCGGUGGCGAAGGCGCUCUACUGGACGGCAACUGACACUCAGGGACGAAAGCUAGGGGAGCGAAUGGGAUUAGAUACCCCAGUAGUCCUAGCCGUAAACGAUGGAUACUAGGUGUGGCUUGUAACAAAACGAGCCGUGCCGUAGCUAACGCGUUAAGUAUCCCGCCUGGGGAGUACGCUCGCAAGAGUGAAACUCAAAGGAAUUGACGGGGGCCCGCACAAGCGGUGGAGUAUGUGGUUUAAUUCGAUGCAACGCGAAGAACCUUACCAAGACUUGACAUGUUGCGAAUCUCCUUGAAAGGGGGGAGUGCCUUCGGGAGCGCAAACACAGGUGGUGCAUGGCUGUCGUCAGCUCGUGUCGUGAGAUGUUGGGUUAAGUCCCGCAACGAGCGCAACCCUCAUGUUUAGUUGCCAAUAUUAAGUUAGGCACUCUAGACAGACUGCCGGUGACAAACCGGAGGAAGGUGGGGAUGACGUCAAGUCAGCAUGCCCCUUACGUCUUGGGCUACACACGUACUACAAUGGCAAGGACAAAGGGAAGCGAAGCUGCGAAGUGAAGCAAAUCCCAUCAAACUUUGCCACAGUUCAGAUCGUAGGCUGCAACUCGCCUACGUGAAGGAGGAAUCGCUAGUAAUCGCAGGUCAGCAUACUGCGGUGAAUCCGUUCCCGGGCCUUGUACACACCGCCCGUCACACCAUGGAAGCUGGUCAUGCCCGAAGUCGUUACCCUAACCAUUCGUGGAGGGGGAUGCCUAAGGCGGGGCUGGUGACUGGGGUGAAGUCGUAACAAGGUAGCCGUACCGGAAGGUGUGGCUGGAUCACCUCCUUAAAAGAGACCUAGUACAAAGCGAAGGGAAACCAAAGCCAAGUACAAAUUAAAAGGUCAACUAACAGGCAAAAGUAAGAAAUCUCUCAAACUAGACUAGGUUCGGGAAUGGGCUAUUAGCUCAGUUGGUUAGAGCGCACCCCUGAUAAGGGUGAGGUCUCUGGUUCAAAUCCAGAAUGGCCCAUCUAACCCCAACCAAAGUGGGGGUAUAGCUCAGUUGGUAGAGCGCCUGCUUUGCAAGCAGGAUGUCAGCGGUUCGAGUCCGCUUAUCUCCACUAGAGAGAAACACAGCACCAGCCACAAAAAGCUGAAUGCUGGAGUCAUCUCCAGUAUCGCACCUUGAAAACUGCAUAAACAAAACAACAACCAAGAUGUAGGUGAAAAUAUUAAUAGAGCGAAAGCAAAGUUAAUAAAAGUAGCAGACAAAAGAAUCAAGCCAAAGAAACAAGUCAAGUGACUAAGGGCUAACGGUGGAUACCUAGGCACAUAGAGGCGAUGAAGGACGUGGCGACCGACGAAACACUCCGGGGAGCUGGAAGCAAGCAUUGAGCCGGAGAUAUCCGAAUGGGGCAACCCCAAGGACUCUAUUAGAGUAGCAAACUCAGCGAACUGAAACAUCUUAGUAGCUGAAGGAAGAGAAAGUAAAAACGAUUCCCCCAGUAGCGGCGAGCGAAGCGGGAACAGCCCAAACCAAGAAGUUUACUUCUUGGGGUAGCGGGACAGUCACCAGCGUACAGAGAAACUAGACAAAGCAGUUGAAAGCUGCACCAGAGAAGGUGAAAGUCCUGUAGUCAAAAGUAACAAAGGCGCGACUGAAUCCCAAGUAGCACGGAGCACGUGAAAUUCCGUGUGAAUCAGCGAGGCCCACCUCGUAAGGCUAAAUACUCCUAUGUGACCGAUAGUGAACCAGUACCGCGAGGGAAAGGUGAAAAGAACCCCGAGAGGGGAGUGAAUAGAACAUGAAACCGUUAGCCUACAAGCAAAGGAAGGACGA